RNAcentral lists this signal recognition particle RNA (103 nucleotides) under Hungatella hathewayi DSM 13479. RNAcentral's name for it is "Bacterial signal recognition particle RNA". It matches the Rfam family "Bacterial small signal recognition particle RNA". Rfam says of the family: The signal recognition particle (SRP) is a universally conserved ribonucleoprotein involved in the co-translational targeting of proteins to membranes. Archaeal SRP consists of a 7S RNA and homologues of the eukaryotic SRP19 and SRP54 proteins. In most bacteria, the SRP consists of a 4.5S RNA and the Ffh protein (a homologue of the eukaryotic SRP54 protein). Lineage: Bacteria; Bacillati; Bacillota; Clostridia; Lachnospirales; Lachnospiraceae. The record is from RNAcentral.
CGUUUGGGUCUUACGCAACAGGAAUUCAUGAACCGUGUCAGGGCAGGAAUGCAGCAGCACUAAGUGGAACCUCCUGUGUGCCGUGAGGCAGCCUGGACUGAGU